ACGGAGGGUGCAAGCGUUAUCCGGAAUCACUGGGUUUAAAGGGUGCGUAGGCGGUCUUGUAAGUCAGUCGUGAAAUCGCUGGGCUCAACCCAUGCAAUUGCGAUUGAUACUGCGGGACUUGAAUGGGGUUAAGGCAGGCGGAAUGUGGCAUGUAGCGGUGAAAUGCAUAGAUAUGCCAUAGAACACCGAUUGCGAAGGCAGCCUGCUGGGCCUUUAUUGACGCUGAGGCACGAAAGCGUGGGGAGCAAACGGG
RNAcentral lists this ribosomal RNA (253 nucleotides) under uncultured prokaryote. Its description in RNAcentral is "partial 16S ribosomal RNA". It matches the Rfam family "Bacterial small subunit ribosomal RNA", at positions 525 to 776 of the family's 1533-position model. The record is from RNAcentral.